This 210-nucleotide non-coding RNA is filed under the name Glycine max (soybean). Its description in RNAcentral is "Bacterial large subunit ribosomal RNA". It matches the Rfam family "Bacterial large subunit ribosomal RNA", at positions 856 to 1068 of the family's 2925-position model. Lineage: Eukaryota; Viridiplantae; Streptophyta; Magnoliopsida; Fabales; Fabaceae. The record is from Rfam by way of RNAcentral.
UUCCGCGAAAUCUAUUUCAGUAGAGCGUAUGAUGUCGAUGGCCCGAGGUAGAGCACUCAAUGGGCUAGGGUGGCCCCAUUUCGCCUUACCAACCCCAGGGAAACUCCGAAUACAGGCCUAGAUCGUUUGUACAGACAGACUUUUAGGGUGCUAAGAUCCAAAGUCGAGGCCAGUCUUUGACUUUCUUUGAAGGCUGGUUUUCGAGCGGAA